RNAcentral lists this ribosomal RNA (87 nucleotides) under Warburgia salutaris. RNAcentral describes it as "partial 5.8S ribosomal RNA". It matches the Rfam family "5.8S ribosomal RNA", at positions 73 to 154 of the family's 154-position model. Rfam says of the family: 5.8S ribosomal RNA (5.8S rRNA) is a component of the large subunit of the eukaryotic ribosome. It is transcribed by RNA polymerase I as part of the 45S precursor that also contains 18S and 28S rRNA. Functionally, it is thought that 5.8S rRNA may be involved in ribosome translocation. Lineage: Eukaryota; Viridiplantae; Streptophyta; Magnoliopsida; Canellales; Canellaceae. The record is from RNAcentral.
UGCAGAAUCCCGUGAACCAUCGAGUCUUUGAACGCAAGUUGCGCCUGAGGCCACUAGGCCUAGGGCACGCCUGCCUGGGCGUCACGC